Molecule: long non-coding RNA, 763 nt
Filed under: Gallus gallus (chicken)
Lineage: Eukaryota; Metazoa; Chordata; Aves; Galliformes; Phasianidae
Description: long non-coding RNA NONGGAT011693
Source: RNAcentral
CCAGAGGAACUGGUGUGCUGUCCUUGCAGCAGGAAACUCCGUUAGUGCCAGAGAAACAGCACUCCCUGCCUCAAUCGGUGCUGCUCCUUCUGAGAUGUGUCCCCGCACCGCUGCACGGUGCAGCAGCAGCAGCAGGUCACUAACAGGGCACUCUGCUGUCAUCGCCUCACUCACCUUCACCUGUGCACUUGAAACCUUUCAUCCUUCGUGGGAGCACUGUGUGUACACUAUGUGGCAAUGCAAACACUUGCUAAAGGGCAGUUCUCAGCAAGCUGGAGAGGUAGAACAGACGGAUGGAGGAAAAAUACAGCAAGGUGACUCCAUCCUCAAUAUUUUGGCUUUUUUUCGAUAUCCUGUUCUGUCACAUCACUGUCUUCCAUGGGAGAUGCACCUCUGGUCUGCUGCACAAUCACUUUGGGCAUUGAAUGCUCAGUAGGUGUGGAUUUUGAGGCAUUUUCCACCUUCAACAAAAUACCUUUUGUGCACAGCUGGUAGGACAUUUGUAAACAGCAAGGCCAGGGUUCUCCUUCGCUAACGCUGCCUGCUCCUUCUGUGCACUGCGUGAGCCGUGGCAGGGCUGCACAGCCGGCGUACAUCUCCUUGACAGAGCCUGAGAAUAGGCAGAGUCGGAGUCUGCUGCAGCCGAGGGCGGGGUGACCCCAACCAUCGUGGAUGUUGUGAAUAACUGACGGUGUUGUUAUGUCUGCUGCCUUGGUUUUGUUUCUUUCGCGCUGCUCCUGUUCCAGAACUCACAGCCACCCAA